GGGGCCGACCCGGUUUCGACGUGGAUAGCAAAACAGACAGGUGCAUGCCGAGCCCCAGUACGCUCGAUAAACCACUGGAAACAAAGUAACUGC
This 93-nucleotide transfer-messenger RNA is filed under the name Thiomonas sp. 20-64-9. RNAcentral's name for it is "partial transfer-messenger RNA". It matches the Rfam family "transfer-messenger RNA", at positions 1 to 94 of the family's 374-position model. From Rfam's summary of the family: Bacterial tmRNA, also known as 10Sa RNA or SsrA, is named for its dual tRNA and mRNA-like properties. Its role is to liberate the mRNA from a stalled ribosome. Lineage: Bacteria; Pseudomonadati; Pseudomonadota; Betaproteobacteria; Burkholderiales. The record is from RNAcentral.